RNAcentral lists this ribosomal RNA (468 nucleotides) under uncultured bacterium. RNAcentral's name for it is "partial 16S ribosomal RNA". It matches the Rfam family "Bacterial small subunit ribosomal RNA", at positions 28 to 507 of the family's 1533-position model. The record is from RNAcentral.
GACGAACGCUGGCGGCGUGCUUAACACAUGCAAGUCGAACGGAAAGGCCCUGCUUUUGUGGGGUGCUCGAGUGGCGAACGGGUGAGUAACACGUGAGUAACCUGCCCUUGACUUUGGGAUAACUUCAGGAAACUGGGGCUAAUACCGGAUAGGAGCUCCUGCUGCAUGGUGGGGGUGGGAAAGUUUCGGCGGUGGGGGAUGGAUUCGCGGCUGAUCAGCUUGUUGGUGGGGGAGUGGCUUACCAAGCCUUGGGCGGGUAGCCGGCCUGAGAGGGUGACCGGCCACAUUGGGACUGAGAUACGGACCAGACUCCUACGGGAGGCAGCAGUGGGGAAUAUUGCACAGUGGGCGGAAGCCUGAUGCAGCAACGCCGCGUGCGGGAUGACGGCCUUCGGGUUGUAAACCGCUUUCGCCUGUGACGAAGCGUGAGUGACGGUAAUGAGUAAAGAAGCACCGGCUAACUACGUG